GACGGACGCUGGCGGCGCGCCUAACACAUGCAAGUCGAACGGAGCUGAGAGAAGCUUGCUUUUCUUAGCUUAGUGGCGAACGGGUGAGUAACGCGUGAGUAACCUGCCCUGGAGUGGGGGACAACAGUUGGAAACGACUGCUAAUACCGCAUAAGCCCACGAUCCGGCAUCGGAUUGAGGGAAAAGGAUUUAUUCGCUUCAGGAUGGACUCGCGUCCAAUUAGCUAGUUGGUGAGGUAACGGCCCACCAAGGCGACGAUUGGUAGCCGGACUGAGAGGUUGAACGGCCACAUUGGGACUGAGACACGGCCCAGACUCCUACGGGAGGCAGCAGUGGGGGAUAUUGCACAAUGGGGGAAACCCUGAUGCAGCGACGCCGCGUGGAGGAAGAAGGUUUUCGGAUUGUAAACUCCUGUCGUUAGGGACGAUAAUGACGGUACCUAACAAGAAAGCACCGGCUAACUACGUG
Molecule: ribosomal RNA, 468 nt
Filed under: uncultured bacterium
Lineage: Bacteria
Description: partial 16S ribosomal RNA
Rfam family: Bacterial small subunit ribosomal RNA
Source: RNAcentral